CACGGAGGGGGCUAGCGUUGUUCGGAAUUACUGGGCGUAAAGCGCACGUAGGCGGCUUUGUAAGUUAGAGGUGAAAGCCCAGAGCUCAACUCUGGAACUGCCUUUAAGACUGCAUCGCUUGAAUUGUGGAGAGGUAAGUGGAAUUCCGAGUGUAGAGGUGAAAUUCGUAGAUAUUCGGAAGAACACCAGUGGCGAAGGCGACUUACUGGACACAUAUUGACGCUGAGGUGCGAAAGCGUGGGGAGCAAACAGG
This 253-nucleotide ribosomal RNA is filed under the name uncultured bacterium. RNAcentral describes it as "partial 16S ribosomal RNA". It matches the Rfam family "Bacterial small subunit ribosomal RNA", at positions 524 to 776 of the family's 1533-position model. The record is from RNAcentral.